AAGGAGUCUAACAUCUACGCGAGUAUUGUGGUGUAAAACCCAUACUCCGAAUUAAAGGGAACUGAUGUCAGGCCCAUUCAGCAGCAUCGACCGACUUUACAUACCACUUAAGAUUUGAGUGAGAGCAUAGCUGUUGGGACCCGAAAGAUGGUGAACUAUGCCUGAAUAGGGUGAAGCCAGAGGAAACUCUGAUGGAGGCUCGUAGCGAUACUGACGUGCAAAUCGAUCGUCAAACUUGGGUAUAGGGGCGAAAGACUAAUCGAACCAUCUAGUAGCUGGUUCCUGC
This 286-nucleotide unclassified non-coding RNA is filed under the name uncultured fungus. RNAcentral's name for it is "partial contains 5.8S rRNA, ITS2 and 28S rRNA". It matches the Rfam family "Eukaryotic large subunit ribosomal RNA", at positions 668 to 961 of the family's 3401-position model. Lineage: Eukaryota; Fungi. The record is from RNAcentral.